CGACGCCGCGUGAGGGAUGGAGGCCUUCGGGUUGUGAACCUCUUUCGCCUGUGGUCAAGCCGCAACUGUGGGUUGUGGUGAGUGUAGUGGGUAAAGAAGCGCCGGCUAACUACGUGCCAGCAGCCGCGGUAAUACGUAGGGCGCGAGCGUUGUCCGGAAUUAUUGGGCGUAAAGGGCUUGUAGGCGGCUGGUCGCGUCUGCCGUGAAAUCCUCUGGCUUAACUGGGGGCGUGCGGUGGGUACGGGCUGGCUUGAGUGCGGUAGGGGAGGCUGGAACUCCUGGU
RNAcentral lists this ribosomal RNA (283 nucleotides) under uncultured Actinomyces sp. RNAcentral's name for it is "partial 16S ribosomal RNA". It matches the Rfam family "Bacterial small subunit ribosomal RNA", at positions 392 to 674 of the family's 1533-position model. Lineage: Bacteria; Bacillati; Actinomycetota; Actinomycetes; Actinomycetales; Actinomycetaceae. The record is from RNAcentral.